GGGCCCUUAGCUUAGUCCGGUUAGAGCACCCGGCUCAUAACCGGGCGGUCGGUGGUUCAAAUCCGCCAGGGCCCA
RNAcentral lists this transfer RNA (75 nucleotides) under Halorientalis pallida. RNAcentral describes it as "Halorientalis sp. F13-25 tRNA-Met". It matches the Rfam family "tRNA". Rfam says of the family: Transfer RNA (tRNA) molecules are approximately 80 nucleotides in length. Their secondary structure includes four short double-helical elements and three loops (D, anti-codon, and T loops). Lineage: Archaea; Methanobacteriati; Methanobacteriota; Halobacteria; Halobacteriales; Haloarculaceae. The record is from RNAcentral.